UAGGGAAUAUUAGAAAUGGACGAAAGUCUGAUCUAGCAACACCGCGUGUGCGAAGAAGGCCUUCGGGUCGUAAAGCACUUUUUGGAAGGAAUAGGAAGGAAUGUACUUCCAGAAUAAGUCUCGGCUAACUACGUGCCAGCAGCCGCGGUAACACGUAGGAGGCAAACGUUAUCCGGAUUCACUGGGCGUAAAGCGCGUGUAGGUGGUACUGUAAGUAGGGCGUGAAAGCUCCUGGCUCAACUGGGAGAGGCCGUUCUAAACUACAGAACUAGAGGAUGGUAGAGGGAGGUGGAAUUCCAGGUGUAGCGGUGGAAUGCGCAGAUAUCUGGAGGAACACCGGUGGCGAAGGCGGCCUCCUGGGCCAUUCCUGACACUCAGACGCGAAAGCUAGGGUAGCAUACG
Molecule: ribosomal RNA, 402 nt
Filed under: uncultured prokaryote
Description: bacterial SSU rRNA
Rfam family: Bacterial small subunit ribosomal RNA
Source: RNAcentral